RNAcentral lists this ribosomal RNA (300 nucleotides) under Triticum aestivum (bread wheat). RNAcentral's name for it is "partial small subunit ribosomal RNA". Lineage: Eukaryota; Viridiplantae; Streptophyta; Magnoliopsida; Poales; Poaceae. The record is from RNAcentral.
AUGUUGGGGCAUAUGAACGGUACAUGUAUUGUCCAAAUCAGGCACUCUUUGAAUGGUCAAGUAAGAAACGCACUCUUUCUCUCAACAAGAGAAAAGGAAAACAUUCAUAGGUAUUUGGUCUUUGCAUGGUUAGCUGCUCACAGUAAGAUUUUGACCAGAGACAAUCUUGGUGAAAGACAAAAUGUAGUGGAUGCUUCCUGUUUAUUUUGUAGUGAUACGGAGGCGGUUGAUCAUUUGCUACGUAGCUGUGUUGUGGCGAGAAACAUUUCGGUAACUAUAGCUGAGGUGUUUGAUUCCUGA